This 95-nucleotide transfer RNA is filed under the name Xanthomonas cucurbitae. Its description in RNAcentral is "tRNA-OTHER". Lineage: Bacteria; Pseudomonadati; Pseudomonadota; Gammaproteobacteria; Lysobacterales; Lysobacteraceae. The record is from RNAcentral.
GGGAAAAAUAAGUGAGGCAAGUUGCUGAUUCGUAAGCUCAGUAGCGCUAACUGUUAAUCAGUAGGUCCAAGGUUCGAAUCCUUGACGGCCCACCA